AGUUGAUUAGUUAAUUUAUAAUAUUAGUUUGUCAAAUUAAAGAAGAAUUUAUACCUCAGUUA
This 62-nucleotide transfer RNA is filed under the name Phoneutria boliviensis. RNAcentral describes it as "tRNA-Asp". Lineage: Eukaryota; Metazoa; Arthropoda; Arachnida; Araneae; Ctenidae. The record is from RNAcentral.